GGGCUCGUAGCUCAGAUGGUUAGAGCGCUACUUUGACAUAGUAGAGGUCUGCAGUUCAAGUCUGCACGAGCCCAC
This 75-nucleotide transfer RNA is filed under the name Parcubacteria group bacterium ADurb.Bin305. Its description in RNAcentral is "tRNA-Val". It matches the Rfam family "tRNA". From Rfam's summary of the family: Transfer RNA (tRNA) molecules are approximately 80 nucleotides in length. Their secondary structure includes four short double-helical elements and three loops (D, anti-codon, and T loops). The record is from RNAcentral.